RNAcentral lists this ribosomal RNA (315 nucleotides) under Nanobdellota archaeon. RNAcentral's name for it is "partial 23S ribosomal RNA". It matches the Rfam family "Archaeal large subunit ribosomal RNA", at positions 2375 to 2689 of the family's 2987-position model. Lineage: Archaea; Nanobdellati; Nanobdellota. The record is from RNAcentral.
GCCCAAAGGUAAGCUCAUCAGGUUCAGAAAUCCUGAGUAGAGUGCAAGAGCAAAAGCUUGCCUGACUGUAUUUCGAACAGUAAGAAAUGCAGCACCGAAAGGUUGGUCUAGCGAACCCCUGUGUCCCAAUUGAUGGGGGCCAGGUAUGACAGAAAAGCUAUCCUGGGGAUAACUGAGUCGUCGCGCCUAAGAGCUCAAAUCGACGGCGCGGCUUGCUACUUCGUUGUCGGCUCAUCGCAUCCUGGGUGUGCAGAAGCACCCAAGGGUGGAGGUGUUCACUCAUUAAAGCGGCUCGUGAGCUGGGUUCAGAACGUC